AUGGUGUUCAUAACUCAGUUCUUUGUACUGUUGCUUUUCUGGAUUUCAGCUUCCAGAGGAGACAUCGUGCUGACUCAGUCUCCAGCCACCCUGUCUGUGACUCCAGGAGAGAGAGUCAGUCUUUCCUGCCGGGCCAGCCAGAGUAUUAGCACAAGCAUACACUGGUAUCAACAAAAACCAAAUGAGUCUCCAAGGCUUCUCAUCAAAUAUGCUUCCCAGUCCGUCUCUGGAAUCCCCUCCAGGUUCAGUGGCAGUGGAUCUGGGACAGAUUUCACUCUCAGUAUCAAUGGAGUAGAGCUUGAAGAUUUAUCAAUUUAUUACUGUCAACAGAGUAGCAGCUGGCCACACACAGUGAUGCAGACCAUAGCAAAAAUCACCAGGAAAGCAGAAGUGUGA
Molecule: non-coding RNA, 396 nt
Organism: Rattus rattus (black rat)
Lineage: Eukaryota; Metazoa; Chordata; Mammalia; Rodentia; Muridae
Source: the annotation of a RefSeq genome assembly